AUCAGAGAGAAGCCAUGUAGCCCCACUGGAGCCAAAUGAAACUUUAUGAGCCCAGCUGCCUCCCAGGCCAAGAGCCAGGGCUAUGAGUCAGCCCACCCCAACAUCCACCUCAUCUAUGUACUGCUCGAGCGUGUGAAGGGGACAAACCUACAGAUCUAAAACUGCAGGAUCUCCAUGACACAGGACAACAGGAUAUCCAAGAACAGUCCCAGCGAGAGCCCAUUAAUGAAAGCACAGCAGAAGUCAGGGCUGGGAACGAGGACCAGUGACUCGGCUGUGAACUCUCAGAGGCAGCAAUGGAAGGAUGAAAGGGCACAUGGACACUCAAACCUCGGACGUCUUUAAACACUGAAGUGCAGAGAAAAACAUGAAAGUACAGGAAAGAAGUGGCAUGUUUGAUGGAGUUCUCUGAAGACGGGGUAUACAAACAAAGAAAACGGUCCAUAGGACUUGGCCUCAUCUGUUCUUUUGCGUUGUCAUUGCUGAUGUUUGUUGGACCCAAAGUUAGUAUCGACAGCAAGUGGCUGAUAAGAGGUGUGUGGUCCCAGCCUGGUUGGUAACUUUACCACAUCCAUUCAUGUGUAGUCAUUAAAGAUAAGCAGCCAAGAGUUUCUGUCAGGAAAAAAAAAUACAUGUCAUUGGGUAUGCUGCCUCAGGAAACUGUUGAAUACUCAGAUGGGAAAUCUUCAAACUUCUCACCCAGAAAUAAGUAUAGCUGUUAUA
Arvicola amphibius (Eurasian water vole) is the source of this 723-nucleotide long non-coding RNA. RefSeq lists it as uncharacterized. The transcript has 4 exons. Lineage: Eukaryota; Metazoa; Chordata; Mammalia; Rodentia; Cricetidae. The record is from RefSeq and is a predicted model, not a curated record.